GCCCACUUGGCGGAACCGGUAGACGCAAGGGACUUAAAAUCCCUCGGCAGUAAUGCCGUGCCGGUUCGAGUCCGGCAGUGGGCACCA
RNAcentral lists this transfer RNA (87 nucleotides) under Alphaproteobacteria bacterium. RNAcentral describes it as "tRNA-Leu". It matches the Rfam family "tRNA". Rfam says of the family: Transfer RNA (tRNA) molecules are approximately 80 nucleotides in length. Their secondary structure includes four short double-helical elements and three loops (D, anti-codon, and T loops). Further hydrogen bonds mediate the characteristic L-shaped molecular structure. tRNAs have two regions of fundamental functional importance: the anti-codon, which is responsible for specific mRNA codon recognition, and the 3' end, to which the tRNAs corresponding amino acid is attached (by aminoacyl-tRNA synthetases). tRNAs cope with the degeneracy of the genetic code in two manners: having more than one tRNA (with a specific anti-codon) for a particular amino acid; and 'wobble' base-pairing, i.e. permitting non-standard base-pairing at the 3rd anti-codon position. Lineage: Bacteria; Pseudomonadati; Pseudomonadota; Alphaproteobacteria. The record is from RNAcentral.